CCUACGGGAGGCAGCAGUGGGGAAUAUUGCACAAUGGGGGAAACCCUGAUGCAGCGAUGCCGCGUGGAGGAAGAAGGUUUUCGGAUUGUAAACUCCUUUUAUCAGGGACGAAGUAUGACGGUACCCUGUAAGAAAGCCCCGGCAAACUACGUGCCAGCAGCCGCGGUAAUACGUAGGGGGCUAGCGUUGUCCGGAAUUACUGGGCGUAAAGGGAGUGUAGACGGCUUGUCAAGUUAAGUGUGAAAGCCUGCGGCUUAACCGCAGAAUUGCACUUAAAACUGACUCGCUAGAGUGCAGGAGAGGUGAGUGGAAUUCCUAGUGUAGCGGUGGAAUGCGUAGAUAUUAGGAGGAACACCGGUGGCGAAGGCGGCUUACUGGACUGUAACUGACGUUGAGGCUCGAAAGCGUGGGGAGCAAACAGGAUUAGAUACCCUUGUAGUC
This 441-nucleotide ribosomal RNA is filed under the name uncultured bacterium. Its description in RNAcentral is "partial 16S ribosomal RNA". It matches the Rfam family "Bacterial small subunit ribosomal RNA", at positions 338 to 795 of the family's 1533-position model. The record is from RNAcentral.